CAGUCGCCGCGGUAAAACGUAGGUGGCAAGCGUUGUCCGGAAUUAUUGGGCGUAAAGGGCUCGCAGGCGGUUUCUUAAGUCUGAUAUGAAAGCCCCCGGCUCAACCGGGGAGGGUCAUUGGAAACUGGGAAACUUGAGCGCAGAAGAGGAGGGUGGAAUUCCACGUGUAGCGGUGAAAUGCGUAGAGAUGUGGAGGAACACCAGUGGCGAAGGCGACUCUCUGGUCUGUAACUGACGCUGAGGACGAAAGCUAGGGGAGCAAAUGGGAUUAGAUACCCCCGUAGUCCCUGUCUCUUAUACA
RNAcentral lists this ribosomal RNA (301 nucleotides) under uncultured bacterium. RNAcentral describes it as "partial 16S ribosomal RNA". It matches the Rfam family "Bacterial small subunit ribosomal RNA", at positions 509 to 808 of the family's 1533-position model. The record is from RNAcentral.